UGUUCCAAGCGCUUGGAGAAUUGAAGUAGGGGGUUCAUAUGGCCUUGUGCUGGAUAGGAUAAGACCAAACAGUGAGCUAAUUUGCUAGAGGCAGAUGCCUUCUUUUCAUUAUUCUCCAUUUUUUUGUUCCCAACACAAAGAACUUGAGCUCGCUUCCAGCGAUCUGCUGGUUAAUUAUACACACACACACACACACACACACACACAAAAUAGAUUUUUUGGAGUAAUUCCAAAAAAUUGAGCCAUAUUAAUAAUAAUAACUAAAAAUAAUUUUAAAAAUGAAAAAUUUGGAGUAAAAUUCCACUUCUAUUGGCUAUUGCAUAUCUUAAAAUAAUAAAUUUACAUGGGUAAAACAGACAGGUCCAAAACUUAGGAGUCGUGAUGCGAGCAUGCUUGUUUUCUUAUCAUUGUAUUAAUUAAUUUGUAGUCAUUGAAUGCAGGUUCUGCAUGGGGGCCAAAGAUAACAAAGACGUAAAUUUUUAUUUACACGAAUCACGUUGACGAUGUUGCCAAAACCUAAACUUAAUUAUCAAUGUUAAUUCCGCCAUUCGUUAGGCGGCAUCAUAAGCUACAGCCGAUCUUUAGGUGGAGAACACAGACAAACAAGGCAAAAUGUUGCUGAAUUUUAAGAUCAGCCGCAGCUUAAAAAAUGUUUGGGAGAUGACAUAAACAAGACAGUAUUUGUGGUACCAUUUUCCGCCGAUCAUUUUACGUUUUACAAAAAAACAAAAAUGAAAAAGGCGUUUGGCAGGCGUUUUUGAGCUGUAAAAUAAAUACAAGGAAAAUGGGUUGCUUCCAUUCUUCAACUUUUGUCAACAGAAGUGGGGUUUUGUUUCUUGUACUUGCAUGCUUAAAUGGGGCCACGACCUUUGUCAUUAAAUGUGACAUUUUAUUUUUAAAAAUAUUUAACAUGUAUUAAUUGAUAUAAUAACAAAAGAUGAAGUGCAUAUAAAUAUAUUAUAAUCAUAAAUACUGAGACAUUCAUUUUAAAAUAAAAUGAUAUUUGUUUAUCUAUGUUUUUUAAUUUUUAAUUCAGUUAUUUAAUUUAUUUUAAUUAUUUAUUAAAUAUAAAUAUUUAAAUUAUGGUUGGCGACCUAAACCGCUGCAAACCACUGUUGACCGCCGGUAGCUGCAAUUUUCUCAUAAUUUUUUGCGUUAAAAUUUGUACCAAUGGAAUCCUCGUCAAGAGAUCUACACAACGUUACUAAUAUCUCUAGUAACAAAGCUUUCAUUUGCUGUUAGCACGUAGUCAAAUCUUUGAAAUCUAAAAUUUUAACUGUACAUAUUUGUAACAUUGCAUAGAGCCCUCGGUGUGGAUUCUAGCGGCACCAAUUAAGACGUAAACGAAUAACAUAUUUAAAUUGUCGGUGGUGGCUGCCCGUGGUUGUUUAUUUUUUAAUUAAUAAAUCAAAAUAAUAUAAAUUUAAUACAAAUUAUAAUAUCAAAUAUCAAUUUAUGUAGUAUAGUUCAUAUAACACAUUGUUCAUGUAACACAUGGUACUUUAUGAAUUGUACUACCCUCUAAAAUUGUAAUAUAUCAUAGUUCAAUACCUUCCAACACACCAAGUGCUCCAUAAAAUUAUUUUCAAGUCUAUGGCCCCAAGAUACAGUAUAAUCUCUAUAAAUUAAUAGUAUUGGGAUCAUAUAAAAUCUAUUAAUUUAUAUGGUUUACAAUUCUAUGAUCAUACAUAUAAUUAACCAAAACUUCAUUUUAUUUUACCAAUCUAAUCAUAUGAAUAAGAACUAAUCCACUAAAUAUACGUUAAGUAAACUAAAAAAAAUAAAAACAUUGUACUUAUCUACUUCGAGGUUUCUAAUUUAGAAGAAAUUAUUGCUAACAUCGUUGAAAACCCUAUGAUGAUGAAUUUGAGGAUGUUACAACAACUUUAUUUUGGAGCCAAUUAUGUGCAAGGAAGCACUCAAAUCGACAACAAUACUUCAUAAUUUUUUACUGUAAUUCGAGAGUUCAAUUCUAAAAUUUAUAGACGCAUUAUGAAAAAUUAUUAGAGAUGAAUUUAGAGAAAAAUAGGUAACAAUAGCUCAUAUUUUAUUAAAUAAAACAACAUAGUCCAUUAUAUUUGUAAUCUAACAAAUUAUCAAAUUAUAAUGUGAAUGAGACUAAAUAAUUAUAUAAGAGUUUUCAGAAAAAAAGUAUUAUUUACAUUAUAAUUUAGAGAAAAAUAGGUAACAAUAGUUCAUAUUUUAUUAAAUAAAACAGCAUAGUCCAUUAUAUUUGUAAUUUAACAAAUUAUUAAAUUAUAAUGUGAAUGAGACUACAAUUAUAUCAGAGUUUUCAGAAAAAGUAUUAUUUACUGUGGCUUUCAAUUUGGUAUUAGUGUUGACUUUAGAAUUUAAUUUGAAAUUUGAAAAGGAUGAAAAUUUUAGCAAUUGAUCUAGAAUUAAAAUAGGGAGAGAGGGAGAGAGAGAGAGAGAGAGAGAGAGAGAGAGAGAGAGAGAGAGAGAGAGAGAGAGAGAGAGAGAGCAGACUGGGCGCUCUCUAUUAAUGUCUAUAACAAUUUAGGGUGAACGCAAUUUGUACUGAUUUUGCAUUUUUAAAGGGAUAUGAAUUUAUGAGCAAAGACUUAUGUGUAGUCCCUCCCUUGACCAUUUAACCAUAAAGGCAUAAACUUUCACUAUAAAGGUCAAACUGAUUAUGUUUGAAGAUACUAAAUAAAUAAUCUUUUAAUCUCUAAAAAUGUUUUUAUUGGUUAUUAGCAAGAAAGUGAAUUGUUUAAAAAAGAAAAAAAAAGAAAAAAUGUGGUGAAUUAAAAGUUAGUUAAUGUCAACAAGCAUUUUACGAGACUAUUUGUUAGAUCAAUGGGUAAUUAAAAUCUUGUGACAUAAUUAAAAGCUUGGAAUUUGAAUCCAGGCUCAUAUGUGUAAACUAGGAUAAAGUGAAAUUUUUGAAAAACUUAUAAUUACCUCUUCCUCCAGCUCAUAAAAUGUGUUACAAAGAACCCAAUCAGCUUUGUCAAUAUUAUCAAAUUGAUAUUUUAUCACCAUAUCAGCAACAGCUGGAUAUGACCCCAAAUGAUAAAUGAAUGAAGGCAUGCCUUGAGGCUCAAGUGGAGGCAUUCCGGCCAACAACAAUUGAUUAUCCGGAAGUGGAAGCUUGAGCGAGCCCUUGUUCACAUGGUAAUAAAUGCAAUCAACAACACAAGAUUGAGUGAGGAAUGCGGCCCCAACCAGCCCAAACUUCUUAGCAACAUCGAGAGCCCAAGGCAAAAAUGAAUCAUACACGAUGCAAUGGACAGGAACACCUGAGCCAUUCAUCUUCUCAACAAGCUCACAAAGGCUUCGAGGGUCAAUUUGCCAAAACCUCUCCAAGUAAGCUUCAAUGCUCUCUGCUUGCGCGGACCCUCCUUCGUCGUAGCCAUCAGAGAUUGCCUCGAGAGCAAUGGAGGUGGACGGGGACGAUGAAUCUCUAUGUAAGGAUUUGGAUAUGAAAUAAGUGGUUACUAGAGUUACCUUGAGGCCUUUGUGUUCUAAGCGCUUGGCGAACUGCAGCAAAGGGUUUAUGUUGAAAAAAUAGCAUAACAUGCUAUUUUGAGGGCACAUUUUGAGUGGGUCUCACUUAACGAAAGUGGAAAAUCUUGUAAGAUUCGGAUUCUACUCCGCUAAUACUUCAAAAGUAUAAUCUUAUUUUCUCAAAAUGAUGCUUGGGUGAAUGAGAAAUUAUCUCUCAAAGUUCACCCUUGAAGUUGGAAAUUUGAAAGGAAAUGAGACUUAUCCCACAUGGGAAAAAGAAGCAUAGGGAUUAGUGUUUAUAUAUAAAAACUUAACCAUACAUGAGUAAAAAUUAUAUGGAUAGAGGUUCUCUCCACACGCGCGUGCGUAGGGGGUACAAAUUGAAGACUGAUUUGGUUGAACUUGUGUGCGCCCGCGUGUCCUACAUACACGAAUGUCAGUCCAAAAUCAUUCAUGCAAGCUUGGCACAUUUUUAAUUUCCUUUUGAAUUUUUUAUUGUAACUGUUUCACGUUUUGAAUUCAAAGAAUUGUAACAGCUUCAACAAUUAUUUUUAGCUGUUAUUCACGUUUUAUUUUUUGAAUUCAAUUUUGAAAUCAUUCAUGGAAUUGAUUUGGCUGUUAUGAUAAUUAAAUAAAACAUAUUGAAUUCGAAAAUUCAAUACAAAGCAGUUGUUACAUCCUCACAUGAGUAUAAAAAUGCACCUCCUCUUUUGUUUUUAGACACUCGAAAAAAUCAGCACAGAGCACACUUGUUUUUCCUUCCUCCUUCGUCGUUGUCUGUUUUCUCUGAUCGAGUUUUCUGUUGUGAUUCGCCGGAAUUUCCAACAUGUGCUUAGCCAGGAAUUCGUGCCCGUUGUAUCCUAGAAAACAGUUAUCAGCAGACCUUAAGCACUCCAGUAAGUGGUAAAUUUGUUUUAAGGAUACUGCCCUGUGCAGGCCUCAGGUUCCAUUUUAUUUUUCUAUGUCGGUUUUCAUCUCUAUUCUGUUUUGUUUUCUAUUAUUUCAUUUGAAAUUUUUAGUAGCUGGUUUUCAUUGUUUAGCUACUAUUUAAUUUGUUAUCUCCCUGUUUGUUUUGUCUAACAGUUUAUAUGGCCUUGUGCUGGAUAAGAUAAGACCAAACAGUGAACUCGUUUGCAGGAGGCAGCUUUCUUUUCAAUAUUCUCCAUUUUUCUUCUCCUCACCCAAUUACUUUAGCUAGCUCUCUCUUUCUGUGUUCAAGUUGUUUAUACAAUUGAUUGAUUUAUAGGAAGUGCAGAGUUUAUAUACACGACGGAAUUUAUGGCCAGUGCCCAUUAAAAUAAGUAAUUUUGUAUCAAUUAAUCAAUUACAAUUGAAAUCUUUUGUAACAUGAAAGAGUGACGUGGUGUUGGCCCCAAGGAACAAUUUCUCCACAAAUACAACAUUAAAAUUAAUUUGUACUCGUACUCUGCCUAAAUAAAUGUGACGAAGAGGCGUGCUUUAUCAUUUGAAGCAAGUAAAAAUCAAAUGCAAAACUUCUGUCAGGUUAGCUGGAUGGUGUCUAUUUGCUGUCUAGAAGUGUCUUAUGUACAAGCAAUGAGCAGCGCACUUAGGGGCGAAGCUAGAUUUUUUCAGGGUGGGGAGGUGGGCUAAAAUGAUUUUUCUCUUAAUUACCGAUUAUUUUUAGAGUAGGCCAUAUUAAAAUUAUUUUUUAAAAAAUAAUAAUAUGUACUUUUUUUAAAUUAAAAUUUAAUAUUGAGUUAAGUUUUUGUUGAGCAUUAAAUUAAUAGUGUUGAUUUUUUUCUUUAUUUUUCUUAUCUAACAACUAUUAAUUCAAUAGAGAUAAAAUAAGAGUGCAUGAGAAUUUUUGGCGCUGAUUUAUUGAAAGGUUUAUUAAUGGAGGUAAAACAAGAGGGUAUAAAAAUCUAUCUAUGAUUAUAUGUCAAGAAAUUUAGAAAUAGAAAUUGAGUUGGCUCGCAAUUUGUUAAACAGUACUUGAUUAAGAAAAUUAUGAAAGAAAAUACUCAUAAAGUAUUCCAAUGAAUCAUGUUGAAUUAAACCAUACCAUUAAAUUGAAAUUGAACUUGAAAUGAUUAUAUCUUAAUUCAAAUUCCUAUAAUUUUAGGAUUAAAAAAUUAAGGAUUUAAUACUAUGUUUUUUUGAAAAAAAAAAAAUCAAAGUCAGAAGGUAAAGAGUGAGAGAGGUUUGGAUUAAGAGAAAUGAACAAAAUAAAAAAAUAUAAAGAAAUUGAAAAAUUAUUAAAAAUAUUAAUAGUAACACUAUAAAUAAAUCUAUUUAAAAUAAUUCAUUUGAAUUUUUCCCAAAAUUAUGGAUGUGCUAACCCUAAAGUUGCUUCGCCACCGAGCAUUCAUAUCUAAUAUCUAAUAUAAUCUCGCUAGUUGAAAUGAAGUACUGAGAAUUAAAUUGGGUUAGACUAGCAAAAACGUGGUUAAUUCAUAGAAGUCUUCAAAGGUAGGCCUCAGUACUUAAAUAUCCAAUAUCUGACGUCAUCGAAUUAAGAAUCAGGCAAUGUCGUACGUCAUCAUUGGCCACCUCAAUGGAAGACUUAAAAACAUACAACAACGACAUCAAUCAAUUAAGAAAGCCUCCAUUAUAAUUUAUUUAUAUAUGUCCAAAAACAAUUUUUGAAUUUAACAAAACAUAUUACUGCUAGUUUAUUCUAUUAAUAAAAUCCUGUAAUAUAAUAUGUUUAGAGUUCGAAUCUAAACUUAUGUAUGCAUAUAUAUAUAUAUAUAUAUAUAUAUAAAUAGACGCACAUUUAAGAUUUUUGAAACGCUUAUAAUAUAAUUACCUCUUUCUCCAGCUCAUCAAAAUGUGUUGGAAAUAACCCAAUCAACUUUGUGGGUGUUAUCAAGUUGAUAUUUCAUCACCACAUCAGAGAAGGCAAGAUAUGACCCCAAAUCGUAGGUUUCUUCAGGUAACUUUCUUUUUCAUGUUCUGCAUUUUUUCUUUUUCUUUUUUUAACUUUUCUCCUUUCAAAUCACUUGAACUAGCUUUGCCCACUCUAUAUAUUCACGUUGCUUUAUUGAUGGGGAAGUUCAAAAUUUCUGCGCGUCAAAGUUGGUGAUCACAACCUUGUCAAACAAGUAAAUUUUUUUUCUUUUUUCGAAAGGGUCAAACGAAUACGAAUUGAGUGGCCAUCAAGUAUGCAUUUGGCUUUUGCAAAAAUGAUCCGGAUGAUUAUAGAGGGGGCUAAGUUACAGGAUCCGUUUGUAACAGACACGUAAUGUCAGUCGUUGGAUGUGGAGUGAAAAAGAUGCAGAAAUUUAAGGGUAGGAAAAAGAAGUUAAAAAAAUACACAUUCGUGGAGAACCGGCUUUGAUGGUUAAUGUGAGCAGUACACAUCGCAGAAGAUCGAUUUUACAUAAAAAGCCAUGGUAACUAGAGGAAAUAACAGGAUAUUUCGAUAUGGCACAAGGUUUGGACUCCGCAAAUUCAACCGGGCAGUUAGGUCACUCAUAUAUGCAGGAAUUAAAAAACACACACACUUAGCAUAAAUUCAACUAUAAAUCACCAUUCAGGCUUCGGUGAUCUUUGGUGAUCUGUUGACCCAAGCGGCCAAACCACAAAAAAUCCACUUUGAGUGCAGGCACCAAAUGAAGAUGAAUGCGAUGACUUGAGGAGCAGAAACCGAAAAUAUCAUAAUCGAAUUGUAGGAACAAUAAAAAUGGCAACAAUGACUAGUAUGACUUUAAAAUUUUCUGUACAUGAAUGAAGGCACCACUCAUCGGAACUCAAAAUUGAAAUUCAUGGAAACCCAGAUAGUGGUUCUUGCUAAAUAAUGUAAUGAACUGGAUCUGUACCAAUAGGCUUCUGUCUACACACUGAAAGAUCUUUACUUUAGCCACUGAUCAUCAAAUUCAAGUACAAAAAAUCCACUCCCAGAUUUAAUCUUGAUCAAUAAACUUCAAAAAAAAAGGACAAAGGUUUAAAAGCACAAACACAGGAUUAAUCAAUGAAAAAACAAAACUUUCAAAAUCUUAUCCCCCAUGGUGUUUCAUUUUGUACCAAUUUCAAUCAGAUAUUGAAGAAGACGAGAACCUGUGGAGUGAGAAAGAUGGGCGGAUUUAACGGUUGGAAAAAGAUUUUUUUUGUUUUUGUUUUUUUUAAAAAAACACAUUCGUGUGCAACCGGCUUUGAUGGUUAAUGUGAAACCGGAAGAAAACCGGAAUGUUGGGUUCCACAUAUAAUCUACCAUUUCUUCGACGGUCCACGUGUCACCCAUCCACCUAUAAUCUUGUCAGCUCACAAGAUGUUACUUGCAGAAACUGCAGCGUAUAGGUUACAGUUCAACUCUUUUCUAACAUGAAAGAUUCCAAAAGAAAUAAUGCAAGUGAAGAAAACACGUGUUUUUUUAUUUAUUGAAAAAGUCAAAUCAAAAGCAAUCUAACUCAAGCAAAUUAUUGAAUUGUAACAUUAUACGUCAAUGAAAAAAUAAAUGUUUAUGAUUUUUUCGUUGAGUUUCGCUACAAGAAAAUGGCUCAUUUUCGAAGAUAAAUACUCUUAGAAAUACAUAGAAAUUCUUGAAAAAAUUCAUUUUCGAACGGGGCAUGGCGUUGAUCGUCGUCGUAUUAAGAUUUAUUGGAAAAACCCUUUGGUUGGUUAUUAUGUUGAAUAUGCAUAAGCUUUAACAUAAUUAAAUCUUAACCUGCCAGGAAUUCACAUAUUUAAUACGUUAUUUAAAAAUCAACACAGUUCCGAUCAUCACUAGAUUCGAAUCAUGUGGUAGAGAAAAAUUACUUAAUUACCUCUUUCUCUAACUCAUAGAAGGUGUUGCAAAGAAUCCAAUCAGCUUUGUCAAUAUUAGAAACUUGGCGAGUAACAAUCAUAUCGAAGAAAGCAGGAUAUGAUGCCGAAUCGUUAAUGAAAGAAGGCGUAUCUUGAGGAUCAAGUGGAGGCAAUCCAGGCAGCAAAACCUCAUCACCAAUGAGGGGAAGUUUAAUCAACCCUUUAUUCACAUGGUGGUAUAUGGCAGCAACAGCACAAGAUUGAGUGAGAAACGCAGCUCCAGUCAAGCCAAACUUCUUGGCAACAUCAAGAGCCCAAGGCAAAAAUGAAUCAAACACAAUACAAUCCACAUCAUUCAUCCUCUCAACAAGCUCAGUCAGAGUCUGCAGGCCAAUUUGCCAGAACCGAUCCACGUAUGCUUGGUCACUUUCUGCCUGUGCAGAACCGCCUUUAUCGUAGCCAUCGGAUAUUGUCUCUAGUGCAAUUGAAAUGGAGCUUGAUGGAUCUCUGUGUAAGGAUUUGGAGAUAAAAUAAGUAGUGACUAUGGUUACUUUUAUUCCUUUGCGUUCCAAGCGCUUGGAGAAUAAAAGCAGGGGGUUUAUAUGGCCUUGUGCUGGGUAGGAUAAGACCAAACAGUUAGCUAAUUUGCUAGAGGCAGAUGCCUUCUUUUCAUUAUUCUCCAUUUUUUUGUUCCCAACACAAUGAACUUGAGCUCGCUUCCAGUGAUCUGCUGGUUAAUUAUACACACACACACACACACAAUAGAUUUUUUGGAGUAAUUCCAAAUAAUUGAGCCAU
Molecule: long non-coding RNA, 8973 nt
Filed under: Citrus sinensis (sweet orange)
Lineage: Eukaryota; Viridiplantae; Streptophyta; Magnoliopsida; Sapindales; Rutaceae
Description: long non-coding RNA (CSIN_LNC000744)
Source: RNAcentral